RNA transcript from Zingiber officinale, 3723 nucleotides. RefSeq lists it as uncharacterized. NCBI's taxonomy places the organism in Eukaryota, Viridiplantae, Streptophyta, Magnoliopsida, Zingiberales, Zingiberaceae. The transcript is spliced from 2 exons. The record is from RefSeq and is a predicted model, not a curated record.
GAUAAUAUUUUUUAUCUUAGAAUUAAUUUAAAAUUUGGAUCCAUGAAUAUUAACUUUUGUACUUUUGUAAUAUGUUUAGAAAUAUUACAAGUCUUUUAUUUUAAAAAUUUUGAUAAAGGUAUGUUGUUAUGUUUAUGAUUCCUAAUAAAACACUAUUAAUCUUGUGCAAUUCUGAUCAAUCUAAAUUGAGAAAGAUGAAUUAAUAUUUUUAGGAGAUUGUUGCAAAUUUCAGAAGUUGAUGUUUAUAGUUUAUAUACUUAAUUUGUAAAUUUACAAUGAUAAAUACAUUUUUGACAUUAUAAAAUGAUGAUCAUUACCUAGAAAUGUAUAUUAUCCUUACUUUUUGUAUAAUGCAUAGGUAAUGACACCAAAACAACAAUCUCAUGAUCCAGCUUGGAGACACGCACGUCGAUUAGAAAAUCGAUUUCAUUGGCAAUGUUUGCAUUGCGAUAUGAUUGGACGCGGCGGCGGGGUCACACGCUUAAAACAUCUUGCUGGUGGAUAUCCGGAUGUUUCUAAUUGUCCAAAAGUUUCUCAAGAAGUUCGUCGUGCAAUGAAAGAGGAACUUGAUGACAGAAAAGCAUUAAAGUAUAAACAACAACGAGAAUGUGAACUUGUUGAUAGUCGAAGCUCUAAAGAACCAAUCUAUGAUGAAAUGGAAGGUCGUGGUGAAGUUCCAAAUGACGAAGACUUUUUAGCAACUCUCAGUGCCUCUCAAACUCAAUAUGACUAUGAGCAAAAUAUGCAACAUAGAAGUGGCUCUGGUGCUAGUGGAAGUGGCUCAACUAUUGCAUCAACAUUAGGAAGGAGUGCAAGUGUUCGUAUUACUUCAAUACAAGGUGGUAUUGGUCGUUUUUUUUCUUCUAUGGGACGAAGACGUGCAGUUGAUAUUGCUGAUAUUAAUCCACUAGCAUUUCCAGACCAAGCUAGCAAACAGACUAGGAUUGAUGAUGCAUAUUUAAAAGAGAAGAAGAAAUCAAUCAGUAAAAGUAUUGCUAAAUUUUUUCAUUUUAAUCAUAUUCCCCCUAAUGCAGCAAACAACACAUACUACCGUAGCAUGGUGUCCAACAUCCAAAAAUCUGGUCCUGGUAUUCAACCUCCGACUGCAUAUGAAAUUGCCGGUCCAUAUUUAGAUGAGCAAGUGGAGGAGAUCAAGACUUGGAUCGUAUCAUGCAAGAAACAAUGGAGCUUAUAUGGGGUUACGUUGAUGUGUGAUGGCUGGACAGGACCUACACGGAUGAGCAUCAUCAACUUUCUACUAUACUGCAAUAGAAAGGUGAUAUUUCAUAAAUCUAUUGAUGCAACUACAGACUAUCAUGAUGCACCCUACAUAUUUCGUUUGAUGGAUAGUGUAGUUCACGAGAUAGGUGCAGAACAUAUAGUACAGGUGAUUACAGAUAAUGGUGCCAACUUUAAAAGGGCUGGAGAGAUGUUGGAGCAAAGGUAUCAAACAUUAUUUUGGACACCAUGCGCAGCACACUGUAUCGAUUUGCUGAUGGCAGAUAUCGGUAAGCUCGAUAUAGUGAAGAAGGUAGUGAAAAAAGGUCAAUCUUUAACAAAAUUCAUCUAUAAUCAUCAUUGGGUUCAUGGAUUAAUGAGGAAAUUUAUUGAUGGGGAGAUUUUGCGACCAGGAGCGACUAGAUUUGCCACUCACUUUCUACUGUUAAAAUCGUUGAAUCAGAAAAAAGUCGGAUUAAAGGCCAUGUUCUCUUCUGAGGAUUGGGAAACCUCUCGAUAUUCUAACACGACUGAAGGUAAGGAGGUGCAAAAAAUUAUUAUGUCUGUCAGAUUUUGGGAUUAUAUCGCAGAUAUUCUUAUAGCAGUAGAACCAUUGUAUGUUGUUCUACGUAAAGUUGAUAUGGACAAGAAGCCACAAAUGAGCAACGUUUACCGCUUAAUUCAUGAAGCAAAAGAGGAAAUUAAGAGGCGUCUACAAUCACCGACCAAGUAUCAACAUUACAUUGAUAUAAUCACUACAAGAUGGGAUGAUCAAAUGGGAAAACCUAUUCAGUUGGCCGGUACGUAUUUUUUUAAUGAUAACGAAUUUUUAAUAUUGUUAUUAAUAAUUAUAUAUGUUUAUUUAUUAUAGGCUAUUAUCUCAAUCCGGCAUAUCAAUAUCGUUAUAAUCUUGGCACAAAUGAUGAUUUAUUAGUGACCCUCAGACAUGUAAUAUCAAGACUGCAUACAAACACAGAAUCAAUUGCUGAGACUAUUAAUGAAAGUCGAUUAUUUCGAGAGGCAUAUGGUUCUUUUAGCGAUCCUAUUGCAGUUUCAUGCAGAUAUAAAAUGGAUGCAGCUGAGUGGUGGUUACAAUAUGGAGGAUCAGCUCCAAAUUUGAAAAAGAUUGCAGUACGAAUUCUCUCACAGACAACGUUUUCAAGCGGUUGUGAAAGAAAUUGGUCAACUUUCUCCCUCAUUCAUACAAAAGUACGAAAUCGUCUUUCUUAUCGUCGCUUGGAGAAGAUGGUCUAUGUUCAUUAUAAUAUGCGUCUUCAACUAAGAGCAAUAACAGAAGAGAAUGAAGAACAGGAGUCUGGUGAUGUAGACUCAUUUGAUAUUGGAUUUGUCCAGACUGAGAAUGAUCCAAUGAUGGAUUGGUGGAGCGCUGUUGAGGCUGAGAAUCCAUUACUUGAUGAAGCAGGAGACCCACCACGACCAUCUCAAUUUCUUACUCAACAGAUUGAAAAAAUACAAGCUAGAGUAGAUAUCUGCGAGGAAGAAGAUGAUGAAGCUUUUGAUCAAGAAUUUCGAUUUUCUGGAUCUCGGUCUAGGCGUUCUCAAACAUCACAAACCCAACCAAAGUCCAUAGAUAAAGGCAAAGGCAAAGCUCCUGCAAUUUUUACAAAAAAGAAAGAAAAAGGAAAACCUCCUACUUUUAUGGGAAGUGGUCCAUUUAGAAUUAGAGAAAAUCUACUCGAUGCAAUUGAUGAGCAAGAACAUGAUGACAGUGAUGAAACAUCAUCACCUUCUGACACUGUAGUCCGAUGAGAAGUUCGAAAUGAGGAUAGUGAUGUUGAUAGCAGUGCAAGUACUCAUGGAAGUGAUGACAGUGGUGAUGCAUCUAGUGGUAAAAAUUAUGUCCCCCCUACUCUAGCACCAGAGCCAUGGACAUGUGAGAUAGAUUACACACAUGCAACUCAAGAUGAUGAUCAUGGAGCUAGAGGUAGUACUAUUCAAUAUCAACGUCGAUAUAAAGGUGACAAACAAAAGAAAGCUCAUAAUUAUCAAGAUAUACGGGAGAGUUUAGCUGAGAUUGAUUCUAGUCGAAGUUCAUCAUACUCGUAACCUUCUUAUUAUAACUCUGAUGCAUCAUAUGGUGAUCCGUCAUACCAGAGCUCGGGGGCUUAUGCUUAUCCUUAUCCUUAUCCUGUGUCUGUACCCGUUUCGAUUUCAGUGGUGCCAGUUCAAAUCCAACAUCCAGUGAUGAAUCGAGACACGCUGAUGAACAUGUGGAGAAAUCAAUAUCAAUAUUGCAUGUCAUGGGAUGCUUAUUUAAUCUGGUCAUUGGAGAAUUAUGGAGUUGACCUAAGCAGAAUGUCGCAAGAACCAAUGCUUCCAUCUGAUUCACGUCACUCCUUUUGGUAUUAAUAAGGUAACAUAUUAUGAUGUAUCAAUUUUAAUUCAAGUUAUUCCUAGAUCAACUUUUUUUAAAGAAAAUUAUAUUUAAUUAUUUUUUCUAACCAUAUUAAGUUGUUCAAUAAUUAAGAAUUUAUAUAAAAUUAA